AUUGAACGCUGGCGGCAUGCUUUACACAUGCAAGUCGAGCGGCAGCGCGUCCCCGUAAGGGGAUGGCGGCGAGCGGCGAACGGGUGAGUAAUGCAUCGGAACGUGUCCCGUAGAGGGGGAUAGCCCGGCGAAAGCCGGAUUAAUACCGCAUAUGCUCUACGGAGGAAAGCGGGGGACUCGCAAGGGCCUCGCGCUAUGGGGAGCGGCCGAUGUCCGAUUAGCUGUUGGCGGGGUAAUGGCCCACCAAGGCGACGAUCGGUAGCUGGUCUGAGAGGAUGAUCAGCCACACUGGGACUGAGACACGGCCCAGACUCCUACGGGAGGCAGCAGUGGGAAUUUUGGACAAUGGGGAAACCCUGAUCCAGCCAUGCCGCGUGAGUGAAGAAGGCC
This 390-nucleotide ribosomal RNA is filed under the name uncultured bacterium. RNAcentral's name for it is "bacterial SSU rRNA". It matches the Rfam family "Bacterial small subunit ribosomal RNA", at positions 28 to 416 of the family's 1533-position model. The record is from RNAcentral.